GCUGGGCAUGGUGGCACAUGCCUGUAAUCCCAGCUACUUGGGAGGCUGAGGCAGGAGAAUUGCUUGAACCCAGGAGAUGGAGGUUGCAGUGAGUGGAAAUCAUACCACUGCACUUCAGCCUGGGAAACAAAGCAAGACUCUGUCUCAA
Callithrix jacchus (white-tufted-ear marmoset) is the source of this 148-nucleotide unclassified non-coding RNA. It matches the Rfam family "Metazoan signal recognition particle RNA". Rfam says of the family: The signal recognition particle (SRP) is a universally conserved ribonucleoprotein. The record is from Ensembl. NCBI's taxonomy places the organism in Eukaryota, Metazoa, Chordata, Mammalia, Primates, Cebidae.